GAUCAUCAAGGACGGAUGGGCAGACUAUGAAGGAGAAGUUGUAAGGUCAGAGGACGUAGAGUUUAAACAGAAUUAUCCAGAGGAGAUUGAAGCACCGAGUCAGGUAUGGAAAAUGAAGAUAACUAUACAAGAAGAGGAGGCGCUGCCGGAAGUACAGACUACGCCACCCAACGAACCUCAGGACGAUUGAGAAAAUGGAGAGUCCCGUUCGGAGGACUUAAAAACACCGAACGCCUUGCCAAGAGGUAAACUUGGUAGUUAUCCUUUCCCUUUCAAUUAUUUUAAAUAGUUUACUUAGUUAAUCAUAUUCAUACUAUCUUAAAAAUAAAAGAAAAUAAAAUUGUGAAAAACAGUAAGCCCCAUGUGAGUAGACGAGUGGCAUAAAACCCAUAAGUACAUUCACUGUGGUGGCAUACAAAUAAAAUAAUUAUUUUUCUGCUCUAUAAAAAUAAAAAUAUAAAAACAGGGAGUAAUAUUUACUAAGGAGUCUCAAGAUGAUAAAGGUUAGAUAUUUAUGCUAACACUUAAUCAGUUCCACAAGCUUUGUUGUCUAUUUGAGCUCCACAGAAUUUAAGAAUCAAGAAGAC
RNAcentral lists this long non-coding RNA (587 nucleotides) under Sorghum bicolor (sorghum). RNAcentral describes it as "long non-coding RNA (SBIC_LNC014108)". Lineage: Eukaryota; Viridiplantae; Streptophyta; Magnoliopsida; Poales; Poaceae. The record is from RNAcentral.